AGACCCGAAACCCGGUGAUCUAGCCAUGGGCAGGUUGAAGGUUGGGUAACACUAACUGGAGGACCGAACCGACUAAUGUUGAAAAAUUAGCGGAUGACCUGUGGCUGGGGGUGAAAGGCCAAUCAAACCGGGAGAUAGCUGGUUCUCCCCGAAAGCUAUUUAGGUAGCGCCUCGUGAAUUCAUCUCCGGGGGUAGAGCACUGUUUCGGCUAGGGGGCCAUCCCGGCUUACCAACCCGAUGCAAACUGCGAAUACCGGAGAAUGUUAUCACGGGAGACACACGGCGGGUGCUAACGUCCGUCGUGAAGAGGGAAACAACCCAGACCGCCAGCUAAGGUCCCAAAGUCAUGGUUAAGUGGGAAACGAUGUGGGAAGGCCCAGACAGCCAGGAUGUUGGCUUAGAAGCAGCCAUCAUUUAAAGAAAGCGUAAUAGCUCACUGGUCGAGUCGGCCUGCGCGGAAGAUGUAACGGGGCUAAACCAUGCACCGAAGCUGCGGCAGCGAACGUAUCACUUAAAGCGAUUCAGCGGAUGACGAUUGACGGAGCGAAGCGACGUCAAAGCGUAUACAAAGUCGAGUCGGUUUAAGGAUACGUUCGUUGGGUAGGGGAGCGUUCUGUAAGCCUGUGAAGGUGG
This 633-nucleotide ribosomal RNA is filed under the name Salmonella enterica subsp. enterica serovar Javiana. RNAcentral's name for it is "partial 23S ribosomal RNA". It matches the Rfam family "Bacterial large subunit ribosomal RNA", at positions 711 to 1259 of the family's 2925-position model. The record is from RNAcentral. Lineage: Bacteria; Pseudomonadati; Pseudomonadota; Gammaproteobacteria; Enterobacterales; Enterobacteriaceae.